CGCCCUCGCCCUCGGUGGGCUCGAAACGACGCUGCAAACCCUCGGCCAGGCUCGCCCCCACGCCAUCGCCGUUGCGUCCUCUCCGAGCCGGCGUUGCAAAUCUCCGCGAUCCGCACGCCGACACCCUCUCCCUCCCUCGACGGCGCAUGGAUCUUCAAUCUCUCUCCGCUCUCGGCCGACCGCCCAAUGACGCUGGCCCGCGAACCCGCAAUGGCCGACCUCCAGUCGCGCGGAUCGGAGGGCCUCCGCUCACCGCGGAUCUCUGCGCUAUCUCCGCCCACGGCCGUCACCGUUUCGCGCCCCGGUGACCUCAUCUUCAACUUCCCGUAGGGCCACAUCGAGCAGGUACUCGCAUUCGCCAAUCCGCCUCCGCUUUCGCCUGCACCGUGCUUCUGCUCCUCAUGCCGCCCUCCUCGAUGCAGACACCUCCAGCUCCAGCCACCGGGGACGAGGACGCCAACGCCGCCAAAGUGAACUAGGCAAGGAUGGCCGGCUGCCGGCCAUGGUGUUCUGCGCUGCCAUGGACUCCGCGGCACGCAUGCCCCUGCGACUUGAUAUUGGAGCACCUCGCUCUUUCUGAUUUGGGAGACGAGGAGACGGAGUGGCAGUGGAGCUGCCAUUUAAAUCGACGGGAGACGAUGAGUUGGUGUGUAGCUGCUGCUGAUAUGCGCGCUCGAGAGGAGCUGCUGCUUGCUUGCAGUGAUGGAGGAAGAGAGAAGCUUGAGUGGCUGCAUGUUGCUUCCGUGAAGUUCAGAGGGAGAAGGUUUUCUUUUCCAAAACACAGUGGAAUUGUCGAAAAUGAUUGGAGCCUUGGAUGGAAAUGAGAACAUUAUGAUCGAGAUUAUUUAGACGUUGACAUGCAUUUCUACUGGCCAAAUUUUCUGCACUUGUACACCCCGGCUGAAGGAAUUGGUCAUUCGAUAGCAUAAAGACCAUUGCAAAAAUUCCUGCCCCGUUCUAUUCUUUCACCAGCAUCAAUGGGUGUUGUGCUGGAUCGAGCACCAAUGAGGUGGUCCUCUCACCUGUUCUGGCACUGCAUCAAAGAAUGCUACCAGAUUGUCAAAACAGUGGGUUCAAGCAUGCUUGCAGUAGCAGAGCAGGGCCAUCGACAGGUGCGGAGCAGGUCGCCAAGUUGUGCAGGAAAUCAGUGGGAGCGAACGCCUUUGAUAAAUUUGUUUUGUAGUAUACCGGAUCUGAAGAAUUAAAAUGUUCAAAUUUCAUAGCUCUUAAGUUUUGUAGACAAUGCAACCCAUUGCACUCUGCUAUGUGUCCAAAACUUAAAUUCCUAGCCCAAUUCAUAAUGCCAUGUUUCCAGUUUCAUAAUGUUACUGAUUGUUUUACAUAAUAAAUGGCAUUUGAGAAUA
Molecule: long non-coding RNA, 1364 nt
Organism: Panicum virgatum (switchgrass)
Lineage: Eukaryota; Viridiplantae; Streptophyta; Magnoliopsida; Poales; Poaceae
Exons: 8
Source: RefSeq, a predicted model, not a curated record